AUCACGGAGGCGCAGAUCGCGGUGAUUGUGCUGCAGAUGACCGUGCUGACGGACGCGGUCAAGAGCCUUCAACGGCAACCAACCCAGUUGCCGCACUCGCCGAUGGAGCAACCGACGGCACACCCGAUGCCCUCCAGGAGCUUCCGACUGGCGCCUGACUUAAGGCACGGGCCGAAAGGAAAAACGGAAGAAAGGUCGGGCCCAUGCUGAACCCAGCAGGCCCUCCACUGAUAGACGGGUCUUGCCCCGACGACGGAGUCCGAGACCGACGCAUCGC
RNAcentral lists this long non-coding RNA (277 nucleotides) under Elaeis guineensis (African oil palm). RNAcentral describes it as "long non-coding RNA (EGUI_LNC007004)". The record is from RNAcentral. Lineage: Eukaryota; Viridiplantae; Streptophyta; Magnoliopsida; Arecales; Arecaceae.